GUGGACUUCAUUUUGCAGAUGCUCUUCAUCAGCAACAGGCGUAAUAGGGGAUUGGCCGCAACACAUAGCAUGCCCAGAGUAAAAUUCAAAAUAUAAAUUCAGGUAUAUCAUAACAAAGGGAUAAAAUGCAACAUGUGUCACAGGAACCUGACAUGUUUUGAAAUCCUAGCUCAUGAUGGAAAGCAAAAAUUUUUCACAACAUAUGGAUAUUUAAAUAAGACUAGAAUUAAUGCUGAGGUAGUUAAAUUUUGAAUUGCCAUCUGGUUUGUGAUUUACAUAGAUAAAGAAUUCAUGAAUUGGAACAUAAUGAAUACAUCUUAACAAUAACAAAAUUUCAAAUAGAGGCCUCAGUAUCUGUGGCCAGUGUCACUUACCUAUGCCCAUCAUUUGUACCAAUCUUGCCCAUGCAAUUCAAUCUAAAUUAAAUAUGAGAUAUUGUAAAUGAUAUAUAAAGAUUGGUACGUGCAAUGGAGGGUCCUCAUGAUGAAAGGAUAACUCAAGUUAGAACAGUUAUAAAAUUCACAGGUACAGAGUACUCAAACUGCAGACUAUAAAAACUCCUAGCUAAUAACUAAAUUUGAAAAUGUAAAUCAGAGCAUAUCAAUAAUCAUGAACAUGGCACGUCAGCACAAAACAAUCAUCUAAAGUCAGUAAUCCUACCAGUAGCAAUUGAAAUAGUAAAAGAAGAAAUUAUGAUGACUAAUAUUCCCACCAAAACUAAAAAUUGAGGAG
RNAcentral lists this long non-coding RNA (732 nucleotides) under Elaeis guineensis (African oil palm). RNAcentral describes it as "long non-coding RNA (EGUI_LNC040544)". The record is from RNAcentral. Lineage: Eukaryota; Viridiplantae; Streptophyta; Magnoliopsida; Arecales; Arecaceae.